This 522-nucleotide long non-coding RNA is filed under the name Panax ginseng (ginseng). RNAcentral describes it as "long non-coding RNA (PGIN_LNC013736)". The record is from RNAcentral. Lineage: Eukaryota; Viridiplantae; Streptophyta; Magnoliopsida; Apiales; Araliaceae.
UCCACGCUUGUUGUCACCGCUUCGAUGACUGCUCUCAUUAGUAUUAUCAUUUUGCUGGCUGCUCUCUUUUGGUUGGGUUGACUCAUUAUCGCGCUCUAAUAACUGAGCCCUAUUAACAACAUCUGAAUACAAACACAGUUUAUGAGAGAUAAAAUAUUGACGUAUCUUGGGUUUCAAACCUCUUAGAAACAUUCGCGUCAUUCUCUCCUCAUUAUCAACCAAAUGGGACGCAAACCAGGACAACUCGACAAACUUGGCUUCUACUGCGACACGGUCAUGUUGUUUUGCUCCAGCUUUAUGAACUCUACCUCUUUCAUGUGACGAAUACUUUUGGGAAAGUACUUGUUGUUGAACAAUUCUUGGAACUUCUCCCAAGUCAUCUUCAGUGCGGCAGGUUGAGUACGCUUUACAGAUUCCCACCAGUAAUCUGCCUCUGCUUGCAACAUGAAGGUGGCAAAGGGAACCUUUUGCUCCUCAGAGCAUCCCAAGACAUCAAAUAUCUUGCAGAUCUUCUUUAUCCAU